GACGAACGCUGGCGGCGUGCUUAACACAUGCAAGUCGAACGGAAAGGCCCUGCUUUUGUGGGGUGCUCGAGUGGCGAACGGGUGAGUAACACGUGAGUAACCUGCCCUUGACUUUGGGAUAACUUCAGGAAACUGGGGCUAAUACCGGAUAGGAGCUCCUGCUGCAUGGUGGGGGUUGGAAAGUUUCGGCGGUUGGGGAUGGACUCGCGGCUUAUCAGCUUGUUGGUGGGGUAGUGGCUUACCAAGGCUUUGGCGGGUAGCCGGCCUGAGAGGGUGACCGGCCACAUUGGGCCUGAGAUACGGCCCAGACUCCUACGGGAGGCAGCAGUGGGGAAUAUUGCACAAUGGGCGGAAGCCUGAUGCAGCAACGCCGCGUGCGGGAUGACGGCCUUCGGGUUGUAAACCGCUUUCGCCUGUGACGAAGCGUGAGUGACAGUAAUGGGUAAAGAAGCACCGGCUAACUACGUG
RNAcentral lists this ribosomal RNA (468 nucleotides) under uncultured bacterium. RNAcentral's name for it is "partial 16S ribosomal RNA". It matches the Rfam family "Bacterial small subunit ribosomal RNA", at positions 28 to 507 of the family's 1533-position model. The record is from RNAcentral.